AGAGAGAGAAAAAGGGUGAAAGGGAAGUGAGAAAGAGAGAGAGAGAGGGGGAGAGGGUGUGAGAGAGAGAAAAAGGGUGAAAGGGAAGUGAGAAAGAGAGAGAGAGAGGGGAGAGGGUGUGAGAGAGAGAAAAAGGGUGAAAGGGAAGUGAGAGAGAGAGAGAGGGGGAGAGGGUGUGAGAGAGAGAAAAAGGGUGAAAGGGAAGUGAGAAAGAGAGAGAGAGAGGGGGAGAGGGUGUGAGAGAGAGAAAAAGGGUGAAAGGG
Molecule: long non-coding RNA, 263 nt
Organism: Oncorhynchus tshawytscha (Chinook salmon)
Lineage: Eukaryota; Metazoa; Chordata; Actinopteri; Salmoniformes; Salmonidae
Source: Ensembl